This 367-nucleotide ribosomal RNA is filed under the name Rhizobium sp. Akar1. Its description in RNAcentral is "bacterial SSU rRNA". It matches the Rfam family "Bacterial small subunit ribosomal RNA", at positions 405 to 788 of the family's 1533-position model. Lineage: Bacteria; Pseudomonadati; Pseudomonadota; Alphaproteobacteria; Hyphomicrobiales; Rhizobiaceae. The record is from RNAcentral.
UUGAUGAAGGCCUUAGGGUUGUAAAGCUCUUUCACCGAUGAAGAUAAUGACGGUAGUCGGAGAAGAAGCCCCGGCUAACUUCGUGCCAGCAGCCGCGGUAAUACGAAGGGGGCUAGCGUUGUUCGGAAUUACUGGGCGUAAAGCGCACGUAGGCGGAUAUUUAAGUCAGGGGUGAAAUCCCAGAGCUCAACUCUGGAACUGCCUUUGAUACUGGGUAUCUUGAGUAUGGAAGAGGUAAGUGGAAUUGCGAGUGUAGAGGUGAAAUUCGUAGAUAUUCGCAGGAACACCAGUGGCGAAGGCGGCUUACUGGUCCAUUACUGACGCUGAGGUGCGAAAGCGUGGGGAGCAAACAGGCAUUAGAUACCCU